This 497-nucleotide ribosomal RNA is filed under the name uncultured bacterium. Its description in RNAcentral is "partial 16S ribosomal RNA". It matches the Rfam family "Bacterial small subunit ribosomal RNA", at positions 28 to 507 of the family's 1533-position model. The record is from RNAcentral.
GACGAACGCUGGCGGCGUGCCUAAUACAUGCAAGUUGAGCGCUGAAGGUUGGUACUUGUACCGACUGGAUGAGCAGCGAACGGGUGAGUAACGCGUGGGGAAUCUGCCUUUGAGCGGGGGACAACAUUUGGAAACGAAUGCUAAUACCGCAUAAAAACUUUAAACACAAGUUUUAAGUUUGAAAGAUGCAAAUGCAUCACUCAAAGAUGAUCCCGCGUUGUAUUAGCUAGUUGGUGAGGUAAAGGCUCACCAAGGCGAUGAUACAUAGCCGACCUGAGAGGGUGAUCGGCCACAUUGGGACUGAGACACGGCCCAAACUCCUACGGGAGGCAGCAGUAGGGAAUCUUCGGCAAUGGACGAAAGUCUGACCGAGCAACGCCGCGUGAGUGAAGAAGGUUUUCGGAUCGUAAAACUCUGUUGGUAGAGAAGAACGUUGGUGAGAGUGGAAAGCUCAUCAAGUGACGGUAACUACCCAGAAAGGGACGGCUAACUACGUG